Unclassified non-coding RNA from Callithrix jacchus (white-tufted-ear marmoset), 122 nucleotides. It matches the Rfam family "Metazoan signal recognition particle RNA". Rfam says of the family: The signal recognition particle (SRP) is a universally conserved ribonucleoprotein. It is involved in the co-translational targeting of proteins to membranes. Lineage: Eukaryota; Metazoa; Chordata; Mammalia; Primates; Cebidae. The record is from Ensembl.
ACUAAGUUCGGCAUCAAUAUGGUGACCUCCCGGGAGCGGGGGACCACUAGGUUGCCUAAGGAGGGGUGAACCGGCCCAGGUCAGAAAUGGAGCAGGUCGAAACUCCUGUGCUGAUCAGUAGU